GAAACCUGUCGCGGGGUGACGUACUCUUGAAAGUCUUUGGAGCGAAAAUUCGUCUCGUCGAGCGUUACUCUGUCCUUACAAGUACUUCCAUUUCGACUUUAUCAACAUUUCUACACUUCUAUCUGCUUCAUACAAAUAAUUAUUGGCCGGUCACGGGACUGAAAGAAUAGGGGUUCACAUCACAGACGCCAUAGACGAUUAAUAAUCGAUAAUUCGAACUGAUACGAAAUGGACGCCGCAUUUACCAUGCUUCGCAAACGAUUAGAUUAUCAACAUUCCUAGUUUUUCAUAACUUGUGCUUUUUCUUGUGCUUCGGAAAGGACGCAGUGAUGCUUCGAAACUAAGCAUGUUUAUCGCUCCUUUCUCUGUCUCCUGUUUCCUAAAAGGGACCAAGUGGGGCUUCAAAAGCUAAGAGUUUUUUUUCCAUGAUGGAAUUGCAUGGCUCCUCCUCGAUGGCGGUCUUCACGACGAUUUCCC
Molecule: long non-coding RNA, 477 nt
Organism: Bombus huntii
Lineage: Eukaryota; Metazoa; Arthropoda; Insecta; Hymenoptera; Apidae
Exons: 5
Source: RefSeq, a predicted model, not a curated record